CGUAGGGUGCGAGCGUUAUCCGGAUUUAUUGGGCGUAAAGGGUGCGCAGGCGGCUAUGGGCAGUAGCGCGUGGAAUCUCCCGCUCACCGGGGAGGGGUCGCGCUAUACGACAUAGCUUGGGGCAGGUAGAGGAUCGCGGAACGGGCGGAUAGGGGUGAAAUCCGUAGAGACCGUCCGGAACACCAGUGGCGAAGGCGGCGAUCUGGACCUGAAGGUGGAGCAAUCCACCUGAACCCGACGCUCGGGCACGAAAGCGUGGGUAGCGAACGGAAUUAGAUACUCCGGUAGUCCACGCCCUAAACGAUGUCGACUCGGUGUCGGGGGUAUCGACCCCCCCGGCGCCCCAGCAAACGCGGUAAGUCGACCGCCUGGGGACUACGGCCGCAAGGCUA
Molecule: ribosomal RNA, 392 nt
Filed under: uncultured organism
Description: bacterial SSU rRNA
Rfam family: Bacterial small subunit ribosomal RNA
Source: RNAcentral